This 198-nucleotide microRNA precursor is filed under the name Medicago truncatula (barrel medic). RNAcentral describes it as "MIR2670 microRNA precursor family". It matches the Rfam family "MIR2670 microRNA precursor family". The record is from Rfam by way of RNAcentral. Lineage: Eukaryota; Viridiplantae; Streptophyta; Magnoliopsida; Fabales; Fabaceae.
UUGGGGUAAAAUAGUGAGAAGCCGACAUGGGGAAGUGAUCGACCCUUGGGAUAAGUUUAAUUAUGCUUUUUUUAACUCCAUAAACUUUUUACCGUGGGUAAAAAGAACUUCUUGGGGUAAAAAAAAAUAGGAUUUAAAUUUAGCCCAAAUGUUGAUGAUGUAUUUUUUUCAAGAAGGCUGCUCACUAUUUUACCCCAC